UUCCCAAAUUCACACUCCAAACCCUUCGAUUUUGGCUCUGAAACAGGUGCGGUAGCAGAUUUUAUUUCCCUUAGGGUUCCGGCGAGCAGGCUGAAUUUCACACCAAAUUUCGGCGACCACCGCCGAAUAAAACCGCCGAGCACCACCAUCAAUGGGAAGCUAACUUCUCGAGCUUUGUAACGGUACCUUUUAUCAUCAAUAAUCCACCGUUAAGACCUCCGUUCAUUUAAUUCUUUGAAGAGCCAAAAGCUGAACUCCAGAUUACGGCCACCAUCG
This 276-nucleotide long non-coding RNA is filed under the name Erythranthe guttata (spotted monkey flower). Its description in RNAcentral is "long non-coding RNA (EGUT_LNC002626)". The record is from RNAcentral. Lineage: Eukaryota; Viridiplantae; Streptophyta; Magnoliopsida; Lamiales; Phrymaceae.